AUGCUGAAGAACGUCUUGAGUCAGUCAUGGAGGAGGGGAGCGCAUGUCCUACGGGAAGGGCAUCCAGCUGAAGCAAUGUAUGCUUGUUCAAGUCAAUUUCACAGCGGGCAGGUGUUGAGGUCGGCGAGGAGCUUCUUCGGCGUGGAGGACUUCAUGGACGAGGACAACAGCAAGCCCUACACGUACAAGAAGGAGAAGCGGUCCAAGAACCCGCACAAGCACAUCUCGUUCAAGCAGCGGACGAUUGCGCACAUGGAGCCCUUCACCCUGGACGUGUUCAUCUCGAAGCGGUUUGUAUCGGCGUCGCUGACCCACCGGUCGACGUGCCGGCAGGUGGCGGUGGCGGGCACCAACUCCAAGGACGUGAAGGCGGCGCUGAUGUCGCGGUCGGACGUGCCGGCGUGCCUGUCGGUGGGGCGGUUCCUGGCGGAGCGGGCCAAGGAGGCGGACGUGUACGCGUGCACCUACACGCCCCGGGAGCGGGACCGGUUCGAGGGCAAGAUCAGGGCUGUCGUGCAGUCGCUCAUCGACAACGGCAUCCACGUCAAGCUCUACCUCGACUGA
Molecule: ribosomal RNA, 564 nt
Filed under: Triticum aestivum (bread wheat)
Lineage: Eukaryota; Viridiplantae; Streptophyta; Magnoliopsida; Poales; Poaceae
Description: partial small subunit ribosomal RNA
Source: RNAcentral